Molecule: ribosomal RNA, 304 nt
Filed under: uncultured soil bacterium
Lineage: Bacteria
Description: bacterial SSU rRNA
Rfam family: Bacterial small subunit ribosomal RNA
Source: RNAcentral
AGAAUCAACGCUGGCGGCGUGCCUCAGACAUGCAAGUCGAACGCGAAAGUUCCCUUCGGGGGGCGAGUAGAGUGGCGCACGGGUGAGUAACACGUAGGUAAUCUACCUUCGGAUGGGGGAAUAACAACCGGAAACGGUUGCUAAUACCGCAUAAUGCAGCGGCACCUAAUGGUGACAGUUGUUAAAGCGGGGGAUCGAAAGACCUCGCGUCUGAAGAGGAGCCUGCGGCGGAUUAGCUAGUUGGUAGGGUAACGGCCUACCAAGGCUACGAUCCGUAGCCGCUGAGAGGGCGGUCGGCCACACU